CUAGAGGCUUCCAGGCUCCUGUUUCCUUUCACUGGCUCUGGUACGGGGGUGCAGGUUGUGUGUGUGUGUGUAAUGGGGCCAGGAGAGAACGCAGGCAUCCGGGCUCCCAGCCCCCACUCUCCUCCCAGAGUUGCAGAGCACCCAGGCGGCCGGGCGUGUGCUCUAACCACUGGCCCUCCCAGCUGCCACCUCAGGGGUGUGGCCUAUUGCAGCCUUUCCUGCCCCGAGUCACAGUGCAGGGUGCACAGUGCUGGGCGCAGCUGGGAGGGGUCCUCUGCCUGGAACCCCCCUGCCUGGUGGAGCCAGCGCCUGGACUGGGACAGGAGCCUGAGACCCAGGACAGCUGGAACCCUGUUCACUUCAGCUGCCCCUGCCCUGAUGGCCUCCUGGCACUGGAACUACGUGGCCAUGGUCCUGCUGACCCCCCUCGGCCUGCUGGGAGGUGCUGACCUUAAGGACUGGGUUGUGGCCCUCCCAAAAGACCCCAUGGAUGUGCAGGAGGGCUCCUGCGUGACCCUCGAGUGCAGCUACAACAUCCCUCUGGGGAAGGACAUUGGAGCUGUGUGCUGGAAGCAGAAUAGAGUCAUUAUUGCUUAUCACUCAGACAAGGCUUAUGUUGAUGCGGCCUUCAAAAACCGGACCUGGUCCUUCAGCAAACACCCGGGCAACUGCUCUCUGCAGCUCAUGGGGCUGCGCCUAGGGGAUCAGGGUACCUACCAGGUCUGCACUGGGAAAGGGAAUGAAGAGUGGUGCAGCCCUGGGGCCGUGCAGCUCCGUGUGACUGCCCACCCAUGCCGUCCUAGCCUGAAGACACCACGGGGACAGGGGUCCCUCUCCUGCUCCGUGCAGCCUGACUGCCAGGGAUCCCCUGUCUGGGACAAACGGGAUGACCAGAGGAUCCCGGCUGGGAUGGGGAACAGCUCGCUGCAGGUGUCCCCAUCCCAGCUGGGUCCUAACAUGAUGCUGAGCUGCCGGGUGGAUGGACACAGAGACCAGUGCAGCCCUGAACAGAACCAGCCCCUACAACUAGGGAAUCUGCACUUGAAGAUCUUUCUCCCGGGGGCAAAGCAAGUGGUGAAGGAACAUGACUAUGUCACCAUGCGCUGCUUGGAUGCCACCCGGAUCCCCGUGGCCAGGUACUUCUGGACGCAUGGGGACAAGUGGCUGCAGGAAAGAGGGCAGAAUUUGCACAUCAGCGACACCAGCACUGCUCAUGGAGGUGUCUACACUUGCAGCAUCUGGGUCUCCGGCCCCGGGUGGGCGUUCCUGGUCUCCUCUGGCAACAAAUCCAUCACGGUUCAUUAUGCCCCUAAGGGGGUUAACAUCACGCCUCCGUCCCCAUCCAAGCUGAGUGAAGGGGAGUAUCUGAUCUUAACCUGCCAUUUCAACAGCAGCCUCCCCGAGGCGGUCACCUACAACUGGUACAAGGACAGCAUGGAGUGGAAGGGGUCCCAGAAGAUACUGAAGGUUGGAGCAAAGGAUGCUGGGAUAUAUCACUGUGUGGUGCAGAACGAGGUGGGGCCCACAGAGUCUUCCAGAAUCACCAUUCGGGCCUCCUCCCAAGGGCUGGUUUCCGCUUUGGCCGCCGGCAUCAGCGGUGCCGUGUUCCUGCUGCUUCUGCUGGGGCUGGGGCUGGCUCUGGCCUGCAGGAAGAAAUGGGGGAGAAAGCAAAGCAAGGCCACCAUGGCAGGACGCUACAGCCCAGCCCAGGUGGACGCCCCGAUGUCAGAGCUGACGUACAAGAACAUAGAGCAGUACGAGCCAGUUGAUGCGGGUCCCCAGGAUGCCCCUGAGCUGGGCAAGGAGCAGCUGGACAUGGAUACCCCCCCGAAUCUUCCACAGCGCAGAUGGGGAGAGCCACAGGGAACAGCAAGGCAGCCACCAUCUACAGCCAGCCCAUGAAGACAGCCCCCAAGGUGAGCAGCUCGCUGACCAACCCUGACAACGUCCAAUACUCCACUGUCAAGAUCCAACCAGCCCCGCAGAGCCGCGCACCUGCCUUAGGCCUUACCUGCGACUGUGCCAACAUCAAGCACUACGCGUCAGCCGUGGGCAACCCCAUCACCCGUAGCCUGGCACCAGUCUCAGGAGUGGGGACUGGGGGUCACGGCCUGGGAUCAGUGAUGGGAGAGAAGAUCAGUGGAGCUUUAUGGGUGGAAGGGGCUAUGUUGGCUGGAAAUAGGCCCAGGUGAGGGAGAUUCCCUGCUCUCCAUCAUUGCUGACCUCGUGAAGGAACACCUUAAGAGGCUGGACACCUUCAAGUCAGCUGGCCCUGAUAGCCUACACCCCAGGGUACACAAGCAGCUGGCGCGCAUCAUAGCCCAGUCCCUGGCACAGAUCUUUGAGAACUUCUGGCACUCUGGUGAAGUGCCCGAAGAUUGGAAGAAGGUCAGUGUGGUGCCUAUCUUCACGAAAGGGAGGAAAGUGGAUCUGGCAAACUACAGGCUCAGCAGCUUGACCUCUAUCCUGAGGAAGGUCUUAGAAACGAUUAUUAAAGAGGCCAUUCUUAACUGACUGGCCGUCGGCAAUGUGGCAGAAGGCCACCUCUUGUUUCUCCCCAAAAACUCUGCUCUGUGACAGUUUGUUAACAUGGGCCCUGCAGAGGGUACACACCUUACCCUAUGUAACCUAAGCUGGAUACAUUCCUGACGGAGGGGGGAACCUGCUCCCUCUGCCCACGUGACUGGCAUCACAUGCCUAGGUGAGGGGCUUGGGUUCCCUGGGGAGCUAGGAACUGCCAGUCUGCCCAGAAACUAGUGAUGCAUUUCAAAUUGGUUGGCUGACAGCCAACAGGUGUUGGCCUCCAUUGGACCAGGUAAAUGAGGUCACAAGGGCUAUAUAAGUUAAGGACUGCCCAGGAGGAGGAGGGGGCAGCAGCCAUGAGGAAGACUCAGAGACAGAGAAGAGCUGGACCACCUGAAACUUGCUCUCUCUCUCUCUCUCUCUCUCUCUCAAAACUCAUGAUCAAGGAACUGCCUGCCUCCAGGGGGAAUCUCCACCUGCCUCUGCAUGAUCCUUGUGACCUAUCACCUGGACAAGGGAGAAGAGAUUGAUGUCAUAUAUCUUGACUUCAAAAAGCCUUCGAUCUGGUAUCCCAUGAUCACCUCUUGGCGAAACUGGACAACUGCGGCUUUGGGUCCACCACGAUCCGCUGGCUGGGGAAUUGGCUCCAUGGUUGGACCCAGAGGGUGGGGAGUGAUGGAAGUCAAUCAUCGUGGUGCCCUGUGACCAGUGGGGCUCCCCAAGGCUCUGUCCGUCCCCUGUAGCAGAAAGCCCCCUUUUCCUCUCACCUGUAGUUGCUCUCCCUUCUUUGGAUAUCUUUCUCUUCUACCUUUUCUUCCUUCCUCUUUCUUUCAGUAUAAGAUAAGGAAUUGUGUUUUAAAGUUUGUAUGUGUGUAUUUUGUAUCUCCCCUUGUAUUUUGAUAUUUUUAUCUAUUUGUGUGCCAUGCCAUUGCUCUUGUAGCUUAUAUUUUAUACUCCUCACCUUUUAACUAAAUGUGUUUAGUUUCAGAAAUAAGUUAUACAUUGUAACAAUGUUAACAAGAGCAGGAAUCAAACUGCGGUUUCCCUGUAUCAGGCGGGCCCCUGAAAGAGCGAGUGAAUCAGUGAUUGAAUGUGUAACACUGUAGCAGGCGGAAAUUAAAACCUAGGAAAACCGCAGAUCAAUCAAGGGAAGAAAUCAAUAGGAGACAAUGUAACAGCCGGGAAUUCUCUAAACUUUACUGUUCAAGGGCUAGAAACCCUGGUCUGAGUUAAUCAACGCCGGGGACCAACUUUUGGGGCUGAAUAUCUCCAGAUCGACUGCUCCCAGAGCCCUAUUCAAAAUUCAUCAACGGACUCCCAAACCUGCACGUACAUGCGGACGACCCCUGGGGCUGACAGAUGCCAUCCAGUAGCCACCGAGGGGGAAGUCCCACGAGGGUCAAUGACCCCUGGAUUGGGCAAACCUGAAAACUGGGGAGUCACCAAAGUCUGGCAAGGACAGAUAAAAAGCAGUGCAAAGUGACCCUCAGCAGCGCCCUCUUGAUCUCCAACUUGACCAGCACCCGACCUGUCCAGCCAGAAGGACCAGCCAGCGACCCCCUUCUGGAGGAUAACACCACGCUGGAAGAAGCCUCAACUGGCCAUCGACGGUAGACUCCAGCGCCUAUGAGAUAGGUAUACCCGACUCUUGUAACUCGCUACUGCGUGUGUGUGUGUGUGUGUGUGUGUGGGGGGGGGGGGGGACCAGCCCCAAGGCUUAUGAUUUGACUUCAUUACAGUGUUUCAAUCUGCCUAAUAAACCAGAAUUUUAAGGACUCCCAGUUGGACAUUUGCAGCCAACAGACCUAUAUUGUUCGACAUCUUAAUGAUGUGGACAUUGGAGUCCGAAGUGGACUGGCCAAGUUUGCUGAUGAUACCAAACUCUGGGGUAAAGCAUCCGCACCUGAGGAAGGAGGGUGAUCCAGGCUGACCUCGACAGGCUCAAGAAAUGGGCGGACGAGAACCUGAUGGUGUUUAACACUGAAAAAAUGCAAGGUUCUCCACCUUGGGAGGAAAAACCUGCAGCAUCCUUAUAGGCUCGGCAGUGCUAUGCUGGCUAGCGCUACAGAUGAAAGGGACUUGGGGCUCACAAGAUGAACAUGAGCCUUCAAUGUGAUGCUGCGGCUAGUUAAAUGACGAAAAUGCUGGCUUGCAUCCAUAGAUGCUUCUCAAGCAAAUCCUGGGAUGUCAUUCUCCCAUUGUACUCGGCCUUGGUGAGGCUGCAGCUGGAGUACUGCGUCCAGUUUUGGGCUUCACAAUUCAAAAAGGAUGUGGAGAAGCUUGAAAGAGUCCAGAGGAGAGCCACGCGCAUGAUCAGAGGUCAGGAAAACUGAUCUUAUGAUUACAGGCUGAGAGCCAUGGGGCUUUUUAGCCUGGAAAAGUGCAGGCUCAGGGGCGAUCUGAUGGCCACCUAUAAGUUUAUCAGGGGUGCGCGCCAGGAUCUGGGGGAACAAUUGUUCACCAGAGUGCCCCAAGGGAUGACAAGGUUGAAUGGUUAUAAACUACUGCAAGACCGUUUCAGGCUGGACAUAAGGAAGAAUUUCUUUACUGUCCGAGCCCCCAAGGUCUGAAAUAGCCUGCCAUUGGAGGUGGUACAAACACCUACAUUGAACACCUUCAAGAGAAAUUUGGAUGCCUAUUUUGCUGGGAUCCUAUGACCCCAGCUGACUUCCUGCCCCUGGGGCAGGGAGCUGGACUCAAUGAUCUUCUGAGGUCCCUUCCAGCCCUAAUGUCUAUGAAAUUUUCUCCCCAUUUUCUGAGUCCCAUGGUCCCUAGGGCAUUGAAUCAUGCUAAUUAGGCUCUGUUAUGAAUUGAUUGCCUUAGACCUGGCUUCUCAGGACAGCUAAGUACAAUGUAAACCUCUUUUAACAAGGUGUGGAUAAUGGUGUGCAAUGUAAGAAGCUUUAACAAGGCCUGAGUGGCAGUCUGGAGUAGUGCAAGUUAUUAAUGAGGUUUGGACAGCUAUGCAGUUUUGAAUGAGGUAUGGACUGAAUGUUGGCACAAAAUGUAAUAAGCUUUAAUGAGGCAUGGAAGGUGGGACAAAAUACUUGUGUGCUUUUAAGGAGAUGUGCCUAAACAGAAGCAAGUGUUUUUUAAUGAGGUGGGGGUGGUCACACAGACUGUAACAAGCUUUAACAAGGCAGGGAUGGUGGGGCCAAAUGUUGUAAUGCUUUUAAGAAAGUGUGGGCUAUUGAUCAUUAACUAGAUAUAAUGUGCUAUGUAAUAAGCCUUACCAAGGCUUGGGGAGCAGAACAUAAUGUAACAAGCCUUAAUGAGGUGUGGACAGCUAUUUCCCCACCCUUUGUUUGAAAUUUCCAAAUGGAAAUCCAUGGCGUUUCCUAUUUGCAUAAUUGACCUACCUACCCAUCUUCCCUACAGGCCUCUUCAGUGGCUGAGAUUUUAGGCAUUGUAAUAAUAAUGAGUAAUGUGUAUUUUACCCUAACUUGUAUCUGCCUUGGGUGGGCAUCUUUCUGGGGUGAUUUUAGAGCAGAGGUUUAGAACAGGGGGAACAGAUGCCCCUUUCCAAGCCCACUGUUGUUCUUCCCCGUGUGAUUCCUUUUUGCUUUCAACUAAAGCCCCAUCCUAUGCAGAAAGAGAGAGAAGAAAGAGAAGGAGAAAUCAGUGUCUUUGCUGCCUGACACUAUGGAUGAUUUGUGUGGUGGAUAACACAGAGGAUGCCUGAGCACUGUCAGAAGAGAAACAAGUUCUGGGUCAUAACCAUGGGCUCAGGGCAUGAAGGCUAGAGACAAGGCAAUGCCUGCAGCCCCAGUCUCCAGCUAGUUUGAGCAGAUGUUUUUCAGGCAACCCCUCUAGAACAGAGCUGGCAGAUUCUUCUGCCCCCCAGGACACACAUGGACCGUGGGGCUCCUUGUGGGCUGGAUACGCACCUGGGAACACAGCCGUCUGGGGACAAACACAGGCACAUAUCAUCUGUGGGGCUCUACCCUAGAUUUUAGUGGCACGCGUCACCCCCACUCACCCCAGCUUCUCUAGGAGCCCUGGCGGGUGGGUACAAGUGUAUCCAUGGGCUGUAUGUUUGACACCCCUACUCUAGGACUUUGUGUGUAGCACGUACUCACAGGAUGGGUGGAUCAAUGAACCGGUCGCUAUCCAAGGCUGCAGGUAGAAAUACCUUGAAGCAGACGACAGAGAGAAGGGGUUGAUUGGUAAAAUAUCAUUUCUUUCCUUCAGAGUACAAAAUCGGCUGGAUGAAAGGCAUUAUAUGCUCGGGCAUCUCACCAAACACUGGCCUGUGCCGAGACUGAUGUGAGCCUGGGAUUAAAACCGUUCUCCUGA
This is an RNA transcript of Alligator mississippiensis (American alligator), 6819 nucleotides long. It is a transcript of the gene named B-cell receptor CD22, with no coding region annotated. NCBI's taxonomy places the organism in Eukaryota, Metazoa, Chordata, Crocodylia, Alligatoridae. The record is from RefSeq and is a predicted model, not a curated record. The transcript is spliced from 12 exons.